GGAAAAUGGUGUUGUCAAAUAUCCAACAACUGACCACCUGAAAGCAUGGCCGCGUCAUUUCCUGGAGAAUGAGUUCCAAGAUUUAACCAUGGUGAAUGACUACGACCCAGAUACACCUCAUGACUGUUUUGAACAGAUGAAAAUGGAAACAACACAUCUACCAACUGUGCAUGAAGACCCAUUGGUAGAUCCCGAUCUCAC
Molecule: non-coding RNA, 201 nt
Organism: Pelobates cultripes (western spadefoot toad)
Lineage: Eukaryota; Metazoa; Chordata; Amphibia; Anura; Pelobatidae
Source: the annotation of a GenBank genome assembly